UACGGAGGGUGCAAGCGUUGUCCGGAUUUAUUGGGCUUAAAGGGUGCGUAGGUGGCCUUAUAAGUCAGAGGUGAAAGCUUGCAGCUUAACUGUAGGACUGCCAUUGAUACUGUAGGGCUUGAGUACUGAUGAGGUAGGCGGAAUUGAUAGUGUAGCGGUGAAAUGCAUAGAUAUUAUCAAGAACACCGAUUGCGAAGGCAGCUUACUAAGGAGUUACUGACACUGAGGCACGAAAGCGUGGGGAUCAAACAGG
Molecule: ribosomal RNA, 253 nt
Filed under: uncultured bacterium
Lineage: Bacteria
Description: partial 16S ribosomal RNA
Rfam family: Bacterial small subunit ribosomal RNA
Source: RNAcentral